GCAGCAGGCGCGCAAAUUACCCACUCCCGGCACGGGGAGGUAGUGACGAAAAAUAACGAUACGGGACUCAUCCGAGGCCCCGUAAUCGGAAUGAGUAUACUCUAAAUCCUUAUACGAGUAUCAAUUGGAGGGCAAGUCUGGUGCCAGCAGCCGCGGUAAUUCCAGCUCCAAUAGCGUAUAUUAAAGUUGUUGCGGUUAAAAAGCUCGUAGUUGGAUCUGUGUCCCGCGCCGUCGGUUCACCGCCUGUCGGUGUUCAACUGGCGUGUAUGCGGGACGUCCUGCCGGUGGCGGUCCGGUUCCCCGGCGGAACGUAGGGGUCGUCCUUGCCUCGCUUGCGUCGGCUCCGAAGUCCGCCGCGGUGUUUCCGGCCGCCUUUUCGAUCCCGUCGCGGUGCUCUUCACCGAGUGUCGAGGCGGGCCGGCACGUUUACUUUGAACAAAUUAGAGUGCUUUAAGCAGGCCCUGUCCCGCCUGUAUGUUGUGUGCAUGGAAUAAUGGAAUAGGACCUCGGUUCUAUUUUGUUGGUUUUCGGAAUCUGAGGUAAUGAUCAAUGGGGACAGGCGGGGGCAUUCGUAUUGCGACGUUAGAGGUGAAAUUCUUGGAUCGUCGCAAGACGGACCGAAGCGAAAGCAUUUGCCAAGUAUGUUCUCGUCGAUCAAGAACGAAAGUUAGAGGUUCGAAGGCGAUCAGAUACCGCCCUAGUUCUAACCAUAAACUAUGCCUGCCAGCGAUCCGCCGAAGUUCCUCCGAUGACUCGGCGGGCAGCUUCCGGGAAACCAGAGCUUUUGGGUUCCGGGGGAAGUAUGGUUGCAAAGCUGAAACUUAAAGGAAUUGACGGAAGGGCACCACCAGGAGUGGAGCCUGCGGCUUAAUUUGACUCAACACGGGAAAACUCACCAGGCCCGGACACCGGAAGGAUUGACAGAUUGAGAGCUCUUUCUUGAUUCGGUGGGUGGUGGUGCAUGGCCGUUCUUAGUKGGUGGAGCGAUUUGUCUGGUUAAUUCCGAUAACGAACGAGACUCUAGCCUACUAACUAGGCGUACCCGGUAUCCACAAUCGUGCUACCGGCGAUCAAAUUUCUUCUUAGAGGGACAGGCGGCUUCUAGCCGCACGAGACUGAGCAAUAACAGGUCUGUGAUGCCCUUAGAUGUCCUGGGCCGCACGCGCGCUACACUGAAGGAAUCAGCGUGUCUUCCCUGUCCGAAAGGACCGGGUAACCCGCUGAACCUCCUUUGUGCUAGGGAUUGGGGCUUGCAAUUGUUCCCCAUGAACGAGGAAUUCCCAGUAAGCGCGAGUCAUAAGCUCGCGUUGAUUACGUCCCUGCCCUUUGUACACACCGCCCGUCGCUACUACCGAUUGAAUGAUUUAGUGAGGUCUUCGGACUGGUGCGCGGAGGCAGCUCUCGCGGUCUCCGAUGUUGCUGGAAAGAUGACCAAACUUGAUCAUUUAGAGGAAGUAAAAGUCGUAACAAGGUUUCCGUAGGUGAAC
Molecule: ribosomal RNA, 1487 nt
Filed under: Hysteropterum dolichotum
Lineage: Eukaryota; Metazoa; Arthropoda; Insecta; Hemiptera; Issidae
Description: SSU rRNA
Source: RNAcentral